This 88-nucleotide non-coding RNA is filed under the name Palpitomonas bilix. The record is from RNAcentral.
CUUCAUUUUUGUAUUAUCUUUUUUUCGUUUUUCUCUCUUUAUUUUUUUGUACAUAUCUGACAUGUAUCGAAAUGAAAGGCGGCAUGUU